AUACGGAGGGUCCAAGCGUUAUCCGGAAUCAUUGGGUUUAAAGGGUCCGCAGGCGGUCAAUUAAGUCAGAGGUGAAAGCCCAUCGCUCAACGAUGGAACUGCCUUUGAUACUGGUUGACUUGAGUUAUACGGAAGUAGAUAGAAUAAGUAGUGUAGCGGUGAAAUGCAUAGAUAUUACUUAGAAUACCGAUUGCGAAGGCAGUCUACUACGUAUAUACUGACGCUGAGGGGCGAAAGCGUGGGGAGCGAACAGGAUGAGAAACCCGAGUAGUCC
This 274-nucleotide ribosomal RNA is filed under the name uncultured bacterium. Its description in RNAcentral is "partial 16S ribosomal RNA". It matches the Rfam family "Bacterial small subunit ribosomal RNA", at positions 523 to 796 of the family's 1533-position model. The record is from RNAcentral.